UCAGGAUGAACGCUAGCGGCAGGCUUAAUACAUGCAAGUCGUGGGGCAGCAUGAGUAGCAAUACUUGAUGGCGACCGGCAAACGGGUGAGGAACACGUACACAACCUUCCUUCAAGCGGGGAAUAGCCCAGAGAAAUUUGGAUUAAUACCCCAUAAUAUAUUUGAUAAGGCAUCUUAUUAAUAUUAAAGCUUCGGCACUUGAUGAUGGGUGUGCGGCUGAUUAGAUAGUUGGCGGGGUAACGGCCCACCAAGUCUACGAUCAGUAGCUGAUGUGAGAGCAUGAUCAGCCACACGGGCACUGAGACACGGGCCCGACUCCUACGGGAGGCAGCAGUAAGGAAUAUUGGACAAUGGACGAAAGUCUGAUCCAGCCAUGCCCGCGUGAAGGAUUAAGGUCCUCUGGAUUGUAAACUUCUUUUAUAUGGGGACGAAAAAAGGGCAUUCUUAUUCACUUGACGGUACCAUAUGAAUAAGCACCGGCUAACUCCGUG
This 491-nucleotide ribosomal RNA is filed under the name uncultured bacterium. Its description in RNAcentral is "bacterial SSU rRNA". It matches the Rfam family "Bacterial small subunit ribosomal RNA", at positions 24 to 507 of the family's 1533-position model. The record is from RNAcentral.